This 402-nucleotide ribosomal RNA is filed under the name uncultured bacterium. RNAcentral's name for it is "bacterial SSU rRNA". It matches the Rfam family "Bacterial small subunit ribosomal RNA", at positions 355 to 774 of the family's 1533-position model. The record is from RNAcentral.
UGGGGAAUAUUGGACAAUGGGGGAAACCCUGAUCCAGCAAUGCCGCGUGAAUGAAGAAGGCCUUAGGGUUGUAAAGUUCUUUCACCUGUGAAGAUAAUGACGGUAGCAGGAGAAGAAGCCCCGGCUAACUCCGUGCCAGCAGCCGCGGUAAGACGGAGGGGGCUAGCGUUGUUCGGAAUGACUGGGCGUAAAGGGCGCGUAGGCGGUUUUUUAAGUGAGGCGUGAAAGCCCUGGGCUUAACCCAGGAGGUGCGUUUCAUACUGGAAAGCUUGAGUACGAGAGAGGAAAGCGGAAUUCCUAGUGUAGAGGUGAAAUUCGUAGAUAUUAGGAAGAACACCAGUGGCGAAGGCGGCUUUCUGGCUCGUAACUGACGCUGAGGCGCGAAAGCGUGGGGAGCAAACA